GUGUUGCCUGCAAGGGCGUAUGGUGGAUGCCUUGGCAGACAGGACCGAUGAAGGACGUUUGAGGCUGCGAUAUGCCUCGGGGAGCCGCCAACAGGGCUUUGAUCCGAGGAUUUCCGAAUGGGGGAACCCACCGGCCGUCAUGGGCCGGUACCGCCGUGUGCGGGGGGUACGCAGGGAAGUGAAACAUCUCAGUACCUGCAGGAAAGGAUAUUCCGUGAGUAGUGGCGAGCGAAAGCGGAUCAGGCCAAACCUUGCGCGUGUGAUACCCGUCGGGGGUUGCGCGCGGGGUGUAGAGGGAUCGCGUUUGCCGGCUCCGACGGGCCGGCCGUCAGUUGCAUAAAACCAUGUGCCAGGGGAACCGGGUUGAAUACCGGGCCGCAGAGGGUGAGGGCCCCGUACCCGAACGCGCAUGGUCUGGCGAUCGCGUCUCCCAAGUAGCACGGGCCCCGUGGAAUCCCGUGCGAAUCUGUCCCGACCGUGGGAUAAGCCUAAAUAUUCCUGUCUGACCGAUAGCGAACGAGUACCGUGAGGGAAAGGUGAAAAGUACCCCGGGAGGGGAGUGAAACAGUCUCUGAAACCAUGCGCCUACGAACCGUCGGGGCCCUCUUGUGGGGUGACGGCGUGCCUAUCGAAAAAUGAGUCUGCGAGUCAGUGGCAUGUGGCGAGCAUAACCCGUGUGGGGUAUGCGUAGCGAAGGCGAGUCUUAAAAGGCGUUUGAGUCGCGUGUCCUGGACCCGAAGCGGGAUGAUCUAGCCCUGAGCAGGUUGAAGCGCGGGUAAGACCGUGUGGAGGACCGAACCCACCUGGGUUGAAAACCGGGGGGAUGACUUGGGGCUAGGGGUGAAAGGCCAAUCAAAUUCCGUGAUAGCUGGUUCUCUCCGAAAUGCAUUUAGGUGCAGCGUCGGAUCGAUUACAUCCGGGGGGUAGAGCGACUGGAUGCUUGCGGGCCCAUAUCGGGUACCAACAGCAACCAAACUCCGAAUACCCGUGAUGCGUAUCCCGGCAGUGAGUCGGCGGGGGAUAAGCUCCGUCGUCGAAAGGGAAACAGCCCAGAUCGUCGUCUAAGGUCCCCAAGCGUGUGCUAAGUGGGAAAGGAUGUGGAGUCGCAUAGACAGCCAGGAGGUUGGCUCAGAAGCAGCCACCCUUGAAAGAGUGCGUAACAGCUCACUGGUCUAGUGGUUCCGCGCCGACAAUGUAGCGGGGCUCAAGCACACCACCGAAGACGCGGCAGUAGCUUUGCUACUGGGUAGGAGAGCGUCCCAUGCGGGGCGAAGCGGCGGCGCAAGCCCGCCGUGGACCGCAUGGGAGUGAGAAUGCAGACAUGAGUAGCGAAAGACGGGUGAAGAUCCCGUCCGCUGGACGACCAAGGGUUCCAGGGCCACGUUCAUCGUCCCUGGGUGAGUCGGGUCCUAAGGCGAGGCCGACAGGCGUAGUCGAAUGGACGAACGGGUCGAUAUUCCCGUACCGGCAUGCAACCGGCAAAACCGAAUCCGCGAGUACUAACUUCCGGGUCCGGGCUUACGUCUCCUUCGGGAGCCGGAUGCCCUGGCCUGUUGGGACCGUAACGGUAGUAGGUCAGCGCGGGAGUGACGCAGAAGGGUAGCCGGCCGCGGAGGUGGUCUUCCGUGGUCAAGCACGCAGCCCGUCCCACAGGCAAAUCCGUGGGGCGCGUGGGCGAGGUGCGAUGAUGGGCGCCGCAGGGCGCGAUAUCCGGUGAUCCCGGCUGCCGAGAAAAGCUUCGGCGUGAGGCGGCAUGCCGCCCGUACCCCAAACCGACACUGGUGGUCAGGUAGAGAAUACCAAAGCGAUCGAGCGAAUCCUGGUCAAGGAACUCGGCAAAUCACUCCCGUUCCUUCGGUUUAAGGGAGACCCCCGAUGGUGAAGCGGCUUGCCCGCGGAGCUUUUGGGGGUGGCACAGACCAGGGGGUAGCGACUGUUUACCAAAAACACAGGAGCGUGCGAAGGCGCAAGCCGCUGUAUACGCUCUGACGCCUGCCCGGUGCCGGAAGGUUAAGAGGAUCCGUCAGGCCUCGGCCGAAGCGGUGAAUUCAAGCCCCGGUAAACGGCGGUGGUAACUAUAACCAUCCUAAGGUAGCGAAAUUCCUUGUCGGGUAAGUUCCGACCUGCACGAAUGGCGUAACGACUUCCCCACUGUCUCGACCAGGAGCUCGGCGAAAUUGCAGUACGAGUAAAGAUGCUCGUUAAGCGCAGAAGGACGAAAAGACCCCGGGACCUUUACUAUACCUUGGUAUUGGCAUUCGGUGUGGAUUGUGUAGCAUAGGCGGAAGGCUUCGAAGCCACGGCGCCAGCCGCGGUGGAGCCGCAAGGUGAAAUACCGCUCUGUUCGCAUUGGAUGUCUAACCUCGACCAGUCAUCCUGGUCAGGGACAGUGCCUGGCGGGUAGUUUAACUGGGGCGGUUGCCUCCCAAAGAGUAACGGAGGCGCUCAAAGGUUCCCUCAGCCCGGUUGGCAAUCGGGUGGCGAGUGUAAGUGCACAAGGGAGCUUGACUGCGAGACUGACGGGUCGAGCAGGGACGAAAGUCGGAACUAGUGAUCCGGUGCCGGUGUACGGACGCGGCAUCGCUCAACGGAUAAAAGGUACCCCGGGGAUAACAGGCUGAUCAUUCCCAAGAGUCCAUAUCGACGGGAUGGUUUGGCACCUCGAUGUCGGCUCGUCGCAUCCUGGGGCUGGAGCAGGUCCCAAGGGUUCGGCUGUUCGCCGAUUAAAGCGGCACGCGAGCUGGGUUCAGAACGUCGUGAGACAGUUUGGUCUCUAUCCUCUGCGCUCGUCGGAAUGUUGAGGAGGCCUGCCCAUAGUACGAGAGGACCUGGGUGGACGAACCUCUGGUAUGCCGGUUGUCACGCCAGUGGCACGGCCGGUUGGCUACGUUCGGAAGGGAUAACCGCUGAAAGCAUCUAAGCGGGAAGCCUGCUCCAAGAUAAGCAUUCCAUAGGACUACGGGUCCUUGAAGUCCCCAUGCAGAACACGUGGUUGAUAGGCCGGACGUGGAAGCCCCGCGAGGGGUGGAGCCGACCGGUACUAACGGACGAAAGGCAACAC
This 3061-nucleotide ribosomal RNA is filed under the name Bifidobacterium breve DSM 20213 = JCM 1192. Its description in RNAcentral is "bacterial LSU rRNA". It matches the Rfam family "Bacterial large subunit ribosomal RNA". The record is from RNAcentral. Lineage: Bacteria; Bacillati; Actinomycetota; Actinomycetes; Bifidobacteriales; Bifidobacteriaceae.